Molecule: long non-coding RNA, 1908 nt
Filed under: Salmo salar (Atlantic salmon)
Lineage: Eukaryota; Metazoa; Chordata; Actinopteri; Salmoniformes; Salmonidae
Description: lncRNA (ENSSSAG00000066348.2)
Source: RNAcentral
GUAACGUUCGUUUUGGUUUAGCUAUUCAGUUCUGCAAUGUCAGCUAAAUAACUAGCUAGCUAUGCCACACGUGAAAUAGCUGGCUAGCUAACUGAUCGCUUAACGUUAGCCAUUGUUGUUAGAACUGGCUAACCAUGUUGUAUUUUGUUUCAGUUCGCGCCUCAGACGUGUUGGUCUUAGUUAUUAUCAUUAAACCACGCCAACUGUAACUAAUUAAUUGGCUAGCUUACUAGAUAGAUGUUGGCUUUGAUUGCUAGCUAGCUAGCUCUCUUUGCCAACCGAACUAAAGUUGGCUAGUUAGCUACAGUGCAAGAGCGAAGUAUCAAGACGGGGUAUAGUCAUUAGUGCAAACGGUUGCAAAACGUUUCGCAACGAAAACGAGUUUAUAUUGGACACAGGUAGGCCAUGGCUCGCGGUCAACAGAAGAUUCAAUCCCAGCAAAAGAACGCCAAGGCGGCAGCUGCUAAGAAGAAGGGAGCGGCAGCAGACCAGAAGACUGCAGCCAAGGCAGCGCUGGUCCACACCUGUCCUGUCUGUCGGACGCAGAUGCCGGACCCGAAGACGUUCAAGCAGCACUUUGAGAGCAAGCAUCCCAAGUCCCCAAUGCCCCCAGAGCUGGAUGAUGUUGAGGCUUAAAAGACCAACACACACAAUGGACCUACAGCUGGACACACGAUGACCACGAUUAGAGCGCUGCGACUGGAACUUAAUGGCGUCAAGAGACAAAACACUGAGACCCCUGGACAUGGGUGGGGGAAUAUUUGUGACAAUGACCUAAAAAGGGGGGCAGAAGCACACCAGCACCCCAUCUUAUAUGUCCAACCACCCCUCAACUUCAGACUCUGUGGAAGCACCCAUCUUAAUUAUAUCAGCCCACUCUACCUACAUCUCUUUUCCCUAUGCUGCUUCCUUCAUUAAUACCUGAUUCAAUAACAUCUAGACUGUUACACAUCUAAAAGUGUAACGGUGUUACUGUUUUUGCAACUUUUUCUCAGUUGUGUACCGCUGUCUUACUUUUACGCCCAACUCUUUUCUAUACCUCCUCCUAUACACUUGUGCAAAUCAUUUCUGCUUUCUUUGAGAAUGGUGUCAUAGUGGAAAGGAUUUGUUAAUUGCCCAAGACUGAGCCUUGUUCUGCCUGUAAAAGGCCCUGGUCGAAACAGUGCCAAAAUCACUUUUGAUAGUCGCCGGGUCCACGUUGUAACAAUUGUAUUUUGCAUUUGACCGUUUCCAAGAAAUGUAGCAAUAUAUAUGAAAGCAUUCCUCUGCCUAUUUGAUCCAUUCUGAAGUAAAGCAGUGAAUACGUUUUGUCUGUGUGUGAGAAUAUGUAUGCCUUCUAAUGCUGGCAGAAAAUGUGUUACUUCCAAAUGCAAGUUAAACGCCAUUCCGUCUAUACUGAUACCAGAUUAAUGCAUACUUAUAAGUAUUUAAUGUAUUUCCAAUAUACUGGAAUGCUAUGUAGCUGAAGAGGGGUGACACUGUCUAGGAUAGGAGUGUCAAUCAGUUUCUGGAGGUCUGUGUUCACUGGCAUUUCCUCUCACUUCUGCAUCAAAUCAACCUCUGCAAUAUAUAUUCUAGUUCUUUUAUUACAAAUAUAGCAGUACACAGUCCUCCAUAAAUAUGUUGACAAUGACAAAUUCCUGUGUAUUGGAUCCUCUGUACAUAGAAAAACGACAAAAAUAUGACAUUUACCAUUGCUACUAACUUGUACUGGUUAAAAGUAUAAUUAAAGAAAUGCAUAAAAAGUAGUAAUUUUUGUCACACACUUAUGGUCAAUAUAUUUAGUGUUUUAAUUGAACCAUGUGUAGUACAUCUAAAAGAGACAAUGAGAAAUUCAUGGUUCAACAAUACAACAGACAUCAAAAGGGUAGAAAUUUAGCAUUGCACUUAUGUCACAGUACUUUACAG